GACGAACGCUGGCGGCGUGCUUAACACAUGCAGGUCGAACGGAAAGGCCCUGCUUUUGUGGGGUGCUCGAGUGGCGAACGGGUGAGUAACACGUGAGUAACCUGCCCUGGACUUUGGGAUAACUUCAGGAAACUGGGGCUAAUACCGGAUAGGAGCUCCUGCUGCAUGGUGGGGGUUGGAAAGUUUCGGCGGUUGGGGAUGGACUCGCGGCUUAUCAGCUUGUUGGUGGGGUAGUGGCUUACCAAGGCUUUGACGGGUAGCCGGCCUGAGAGGGUGACCGGCCACAUUGGGACUGAGAUACGGCCCAGACUCCUACGGGAGGCAGCAGUGGGGAAUAUUGCACAAUGGGCGGAAGCCUGAUGCAGCAACGCCGCGUGCGGGAUGACGGCCUUCGGGUUGUAAACCGCUUUCGCCUGUGACGAAGCGUGAGUGACGGUAAUGGGUAAAGAAGCACCGGCUAACUACGUG
Molecule: ribosomal RNA, 468 nt
Filed under: uncultured bacterium
Lineage: Bacteria
Description: partial 16S ribosomal RNA
Rfam family: Bacterial small subunit ribosomal RNA
Source: RNAcentral